GUUUCAGACGGACCCUCGUGGUGUUGAAGC
Halorubrum vacuolatum is the source of this 30-nucleotide non-coding RNA. Lineage: Archaea; Methanobacteriati; Methanobacteriota; Halobacteria; Halobacteriales; Haloferacaceae. The record is from Rfam.